RNAcentral lists this ribosomal RNA (1507 nucleotides) under Sarcoleotia globosa. RNAcentral's name for it is "partial 18S small subunit ribosomal RNA". It matches the Rfam family "Eukaryotic small subunit ribosomal RNA", at positions 1 to 1149 of the family's 1831-position model. The record is from RNAcentral. Lineage: Eukaryota; Fungi; Ascomycota; Geoglossomycetes; Geoglossales; Geoglossaceae.
GAAUUCGUAGUCAUAUGCUUGUCUCAAAGAUUAAGCCAUGCAUGUCUAAGUAUAAGCAAUCUAUACCGUGAAACUGCGAAUGGCUCAUUAAAUCAGUUAUCGUUUAUUUGAUAGUACCCUACUACUUGGAUAACCGUGGUAAUUCUAGAGCUAAUACAUGCUAAAAACCCCGACUUACGAAGGGGUGUAUUUAUUAGAUAAAAAACCAAUGUCCUUCGGGACUCCCUGGUGAUUCAUAAUAACUUAACGAAUCGCAUGGCCUUGCGCCGGCGAUGGUUCAUUCAAAUUUCUGCCCUAUCAACUUUCGAUGGUAGGAUAGUGGCCUACCAUGGUUUCAACGGGUAACGGGGAAUUAGGGUUCUAUUCCGGAGAGGGAGCCUGAGAAACGGCUACCACAUCCAAGGAAGGCAGCAGGCGCGCAAAUUACCCAAUCCCGACACGGGGAGGUAGUGACAAUAAAUACUGAUACAGGGCUCUUUUGGGUCUUGUAAUUGGAAUGAGUACAAUUUAAAUCCCUUAACGAGGAACAAUUGGAGGGCAAGUCUGGUGAACUUUAGCAAGUUCCAAAACUUUGGUUUUGGCAUGCUGAUGCCAGAGAUAGUGGGGACUCUUAUGUGAGUCUAUGCCUGCUAGUCGAUGUAUCCCCGUUGUGUGAUGGGUGGAUACCGGCGAGGUAACCUGGUACGGGGAACCCUAAGGGCAUUUGCCUAUGGGAAUCCCGUGGCGAGCUUGAAGUUUUAAUCAUCUUCAAGCCGUCGUAACGCGCGCAAAGGUACCGGCUUUUAAGCUCAAGGGACGUGCUAUUCCUACCCGAAAGGGUACUUUCAUCUGGAGCGCCCAUCACGUAAAGGAUGAAAGAAGUUAAGUUCUUAAAUUCCUGACCUGGUGAGAUAUUUAGUGACUGAGCUUCUUGCUCGCACUUUAUCGAUAUAAGGCCAGCAGCCGCGGUAAUUCCAGCUCCAAUAGCGUAUAUUAAAGUUGUGCCAGUAAAAAGCUCGUAGUUGAACUUGGGCCUGGCUGGCCGGUCCGCCUCACGGCGUGCACUGGUCCGGCCGGGCCUUUCCUCCUGGCUAGCCACAUGUCCUUAACUGGGUGUGUUGGGAACCAGACUUUUACUUGAAAAAUUAGAGUGUUCAAAGCAGGCCUAUGCUCGAAUACAUUAGCAUGGAAUAAUAGAAUAGGACGUGUGGUUCUAUUUUGUUGGUUUCUAGGACCGCCGUAAUGAUUAAUAGGGAUAGUCGGGGGCAUCAGUAUUCAAUUGUCAGAGGUGAAAUUCUUGGAUUUAUUGAAGACUAACUACUGCGAAAGCAUUUGCCAAGGAUGUUUUCAUUAAUCAGUGAACGAAAGUUAGGGGAUCGAAGACGAUCAGAUACCGUCGUAGUCUUAACCAUAAACUAUGCCGACUAGGGAUCGGGCGAUGUUAAUUUUAUGACUCGCUCGGCACCUUACGAGAAAUCAAAGUCUUUGGGUUCUGGGGGGAGUAUGGUCGCAAGGCUGAAACUUAAAG